Non-coding RNA from Podarcis lilfordi (Lilford's wall lizard), 1695 nucleotides. Lineage: Eukaryota; Metazoa; Chordata; Lepidosauria; Squamata; Lacertidae. The record is from the annotation of a GenBank genome assembly.
AGGAAUUGGACUUAAAAUUUUUACUUCAAUUUGGUACUGAAACGGGAAGGUCUAAACAGGAAGUCAGCCUUCCAUUUCUUUGUAGACAGAAUAAAGCAAAGACAACGUAAACUAGAGCUCAGAAAAUCGCCUCUAAAGGAUUGGCUUUCAUCAUUUAAAAUUGUUGAACCCCCCUUCGGCAGCAGGAGUAGAAGGGGGAUCUUUUCUGGACUGUUUAAACCUGCAGAAGUGAGUUUAAAGUAAAGUAACUUUCCACCGUCCUGAUCCUGGAGCGGGGUGUCAGGACUGACGUUUGAAGCUCAUUGACCAGAAACAAGCGCUUUUGACAGAUAGCUAAAAGAAGAGGAACAUAGUGAUUCCAUUGUUUCCUUUCGCACCUUAAAGGAACAAAUAUUGACAAAAUAUCUGAAAAAAGGAAACUCAGUUGCUAGACUUGUCUUUAAAAGAAAGAUUAAACAGAAGUUUUCCCCCUAGAGGGAGACUGUGAAACUGUAACCAACUCCUGGGAGCUGGCACCUGUUACAGAUUACAGUCAUGGGAAUAGACAUCUGACCUUCAGGACAAUGUAUUCAGAAGCUCUGUUGUGUGCUUUCUAUAAAACAAAUGCCCUACUGGAACAGUUACAUGAGAAGACGAAUUUGAUGGCUGAUUCGAUUAGAAAUUUUGAACAGGCAGUGGGAAAUUUUGAACAGGCAGUGGGAAAAUAUGUGGAGCCCACCCAGGAAUUAAAUCAGGAGUGUGUCCUGACAGAACAGGCCCUACAGGAAUAUGAGCUUUCGGAUUUGACAAAUGAACUUGGAAAAAGCCAGACUUGGAAAGAAAAAGUUUGGUUUGGUUUGGAAAUGGGGGGUUGGAUAGACCCUCCUAUGCAGGGAUGUUUGGACUUUUCAAGUCUGGCAAUGGGCCGUGAGAUGUUUGGGAUUGUGGGGGCUCUUAAUUUUGGAGGGAUUUUGAAACAUGUUUUUAAAUACCACAUGGAAUUUAGUGUCGAUUAUGGAAAAGGGGCUGAUCUGUCGAGAAGGGUCAAAAAUAUUGCUAAGUUGGAGUUCCCACGAGUGAAAGGAGCAGGAGACAAAGGAAAAUACAGCUAUAAAUAUGAAGAAGAGCCGCGGAAGGGACAUGGAAGGGACUUAAGGGCCUCGGAUAUAAGAUUACCAGGUUAAUGCGCCAGAUCGAUGGGAUAAUAAGGACUGACAAAACCCGGGACCAGGAGGAAGGGACGCUGGAUGAAGAUUGGAUUUGUUUUUAUUUCUCUUUUUUACUACUAGGACUGUUUUAUAAAAUUGAUGAAUGUUAGAAAAAUGUUGGAAUGAAAUUACUUGGCUUUAGUAAAAAUGUUUAAAGAAUUAUGCAAAAAUAUUAUGGUUAUGAGAAGUUGGUAAAAAUAAGAUUUAAGUUUUAAGUCUCAAGGUUUUUUUUAUACUAAGAUAAGAUUAAAAUAGUUUAAGGUAAUGUAAUGACAGAAUAUUAUGAAAUAUGGAAAGGAUUUGCUGUGACAAUUAACAAACAGGAUACAAGGAAGGGGAGGAGGAGGAGGUCAAGGAAAGAGGGUAAUGACAGUUGAGGAGUUGAGAAUAAUGGAUUUGUUUUUAAAUGUUUUUAAAUGUGUGUGGUGUAUUUUUGUUUUUUUCUUUCUUAUUUUGAAUUUGUAUCUCUUUUUCUACUUUGUUUUUCUUUUGUAACUUAAAAAAAUUU